CCUACGGGAGGCAGCAGUGAGGAAUAUUGGUCAAUGGGCGAGAGCCUGAACCAGCCAAGUCGCGUGAAGGAUGACGGCCCUACGGGUUGUAAACUUCUUUUGUCAGGGAGCAAUUUGGUCCACGCGUGGGCUUAGCGAGAGUACCUGAAGAAAAAGCCUCGGCUAACUCCGUGCCAGCAGCCGCGGUAAUACGGAGGAUGCGAGCGUUAUCCGGAUUUAUUGGGUUUAAAGGGUGCGUAGGCGGAAUAUCAAGUCAGCGGUAAAAAUUCGGGGCUCAACCCCGUCGUGCCGUUGAAACUGAUGGUCUUGAGUGGGCGAGAAGUAUGCGGAAUGCGUGGUGUAGCGGUGAAAUGCAUAGAUAUCACGCAGAACUCCGAUUGCGAAGGCAGCAUACCGGCGCCCAACUGACGCUGAAGCACGAAAGCGUGGGUAUCGAACAGGAUUAGAUACCCCUGUAGUC
RNAcentral lists this ribosomal RNA (460 nucleotides) under uncultured bacterium. RNAcentral describes it as "partial 16S ribosomal RNA". It matches the Rfam family "Bacterial small subunit ribosomal RNA", at positions 338 to 795 of the family's 1533-position model. The record is from RNAcentral.